This 159-nucleotide small nuclear RNA is filed under the name Pogona vitticeps (central bearded dragon). Its description in RNAcentral is "U1 spliceosomal RNA (ENSPVIG00000013719.1)". It matches the Rfam family "U1 spliceosomal RNA". From Rfam's summary of the family: U1 is a small nuclear RNA (snRNA) component of the spliceosome (involved in pre-mRNA splicing). Its 5' end forms complementary base pairs with the 5' splice junction, thus defining the 5' donor site of an intron. There are significant differences in sequence and secondary structure between metazoan and yeast U1 snRNAs, the latter being much longer (568 nucleotides as compared to 164 nucleotides in human). The record is from Rfam by way of RNAcentral. Lineage: Eukaryota; Metazoa; Chordata; Lepidosauria; Squamata; Agamidae.
AUGCGAGGCACCACUGUACCAUGAUCAUGAAAGUGGUUUUCCCAGGGUGAGGCUCAUCCAUUGCACUUCAGGUGUGCUGAUCCCUGUGAUUUCCCCAAAUGUGGGGAACUCAACUGCAUAAUUUGUGGUAGUGGGGGAUUGCAUUUGUGCCUUCCUUGG